Molecule: transfer RNA, 845 nt
Filed under: uncultured Synechococcus sp.
Lineage: Bacteria; Bacillati; Cyanobacteriota; Cyanophyceae; Synechococcales; Synechococcaceae
Description: partial contains 16S ribosomal RNA, 16S-23S ribosomal RNA intergenic spacer, and 23S ribosomal RNA
Rfam family: tRNA (bases 283-355)
Source: RNAcentral
UGGAUCACCUCCUAACAGGGAGACAACACAAUGAUUUUGAUGCCUGAGUGCUUUUAUUCUUAGGCCGAAAUCCUGUCACCUUAGGUCGAUCGGUACCUCAGCUUUGAAGUCAAGGAUCAGCAGCAGUGUUGAUUGCUUGAUGGAGAUUUUCAGUUCCUAAACUUUGUCUAGGUCACACCCCAAAAGGGAUGAGACUCCUGGGCCAUUAGCUCAGGUGGUUAGAGCGCACCCCUGAUAAGGGUGAGGUCCCUGGUUCAAGUCCAGGAUGGCCCAUUCGGUGUUGGGGGUUUAGCUCAGUUGGUAGAGCGCCUGCUUUGCAAGCAGGAUGUCAGGAGUUCGAGUCUCCUAACCUCCACUGACCGAACUUGAUUCCCAUCUCCAAUUUUUUGGAGUUGAGCUCGAUUGGAGUGUGAUUUAGAUGUGUCCGCUGGAUGACCCCAGCUUCCUGUCAUUCCAAGUUUUAGAUUUUAAGUCUUGAAUUUGGUUGAUAAGAUGCUGGGCUCGGAUCAAAUAAUCAAGCAAUUGAUGAUUUGAUUUGAAGUUCUAGCAGAACCUUGACAACUGCAUAGGUGAGUCUGGAAAAAACAAAGCAUCUUACAGAUGCAUUGUUUUGAAUCUGAUCUUCUGAAGGGGAGAUUGGAUCCAGAACAAUGAAAAUUCUUUUGAGCAAGAGCCGAGACUCUUGAGUGUUCUUUGAUUGGUGUCGAGCCAAUCAGAGUUUGAUCUUGUUUUUAGCAAUAAAAACUUGAGAAUCUGCUUUCAACGGCGGUAAGCGUUCAGGAGGUUAAUUGGUCAAGCUACAAAGGGCUCACGGCGGAUACCUUGGCACACAGAGGCGAUGAAGG